UACAGAGACCUCAAACGUUAUCCGGAUUUAUUGGGUGUAAAGAGCUAAAAGGUGGUUUAGUAAGUUGAGCAUAAAAGCUCGGGGCUCAACCCCGAAUCUAUGCUCAAAACUCCUAGACUAGAGGAUGGGAGAGGUAAGUGGAAUGGCUAGUGUAGCAGUAAAAUGCGUUAAUAUUAGCCAGAACACCACAGGCGAAGGCAGCUUACUGGAACAUUCCUGACACUAUAUAGCGAAAGCGUGGGGAGCGAAUGGGAUUAGAUACCCCAGUAGUCCACGCCGUAAACGAUGAAUGCUAGGUAUUGCGGGGUCGGCCCCUGCAGUAUCGUUCUUCAAGCUAACGCGUUAAGCAUUCCACCUGGGGAGUACGGCCGCAAGGCUAAA
RNAcentral lists this ribosomal RNA (381 nucleotides) under uncultured bacterium. Its description in RNAcentral is "bacterial SSU rRNA". It matches the Rfam family "Bacterial small subunit ribosomal RNA", at positions 524 to 898 of the family's 1533-position model. The record is from RNAcentral.